GAUCAUUGUCAUUAUCAUACAAAGUGAACUAUUUUUUCACCUUUUACUAAAGAAUACCGUGUGUUGGACACUCACAAUGGCAUACGCCAAUUUUUGAAAGCUUCCUUCUCUAUAUAUAAU
Molecule: non-coding RNA, 120 nt
Organism: Picea glauca (white spruce)
Lineage: Eukaryota; Viridiplantae; Streptophyta; Pinopsida; Pinales; Pinaceae
Source: Rfam